AGUUGAGACGGGGCCGAGGCGGGAGAGGCGGGGCCGGGCGGGGCGGCGCGGGUUUGUAGUCCGGCGCUUUCCGGCUCCUGGGCCCAAGUCCGUGCGCGCCUUGGUUGCGGAACCUUCUGCGGAAAUCGUCUGUCCUCUUCGCCCCUUCGCUGCGGUCGGUCGGUGCGUGCGCGCUCAAGGGCUCCGGCGAGCCUGGCCCGGUCCUCCCAGAGCCCAGGCUGCUUCUUCACCAGGAGGAAUAAUGGCGUCUGUUGCAGUUGAUCCCCAACUGACUGUCAUGACAAGGGUGGCCAACCUGCCCUUGGUGAGCUCCACAUAUGACCUCGUGUCCUCGGCCUAUGUCAGUACAAAGGAUCAGUAUCCCUACUUGAAGUCUGUCUGUGAGAUGGCAGAGAAGGGUGUGAAGACCAUGACUUCGGUGGCUGUGACAAGUGCUCUGCCCAUCAUCCAGAAACUAGAGCCACAAAUUGCUGCUGCCAACACUUAUGCCUGUAAGGGACUGGACAGGAUCGAGGAGAGACUGCCAAUUCUGAAUCAGCCAACAACCCAGGUUGUUGCCAAUGCUAAAGGUGUUGUGACAGGGGCAAAAGAUGCUGUGACAACUACUGUGACUGGAGCCAAGGAUUCAGUAGCCAGCACCAUCACGGGGGUGAUGGACAAGACUAAAGGAGCAGUGACUGGCAGUGUGGAGAAGACCAAGUCUGUGAUCAAUGGCAGCAUUAACACAGUUUUGGGAAGUCGCAUGGUGCAGCUUAUGAGCAGUGGAGUAGAAAAUGCACUCACAAAAUCAGAGCUGCUGGUGGACCAGUACCUGCCUCUCACUCAGGAAGAACUAGAAAAAGAAACAAAAAAAGUUGAAGGGUUUGAUGUGGUUCAGAAGCCAAGUUAUUAUAUUAGACUGGGCUCCCUGUCUACCAAGCUUCGCUCACGUGCCUACGAGCAGGCUGUCAGCAAGGUUAAAGAUGCUAAGCAAAAAAGCCAAGAGACUAUUUCUCAGCUCCAUUCUACUGUUCACUUGAUUGAAUUUGCCAGGAAGAAUGUGCAUAGUGCCAACCAGAAAAUUCAGGAUGCUCAGGGUAAGCUCUACGUCUCGUGGGUGGAGUGGAAGAGAAGCAUCGGCCAUGAUGAAAGUGAUGAAUCCCAUUGUGUUGAGCACAUCGAGUCACGUACUUUGGCUAUUGCCCGAAACCUGACUCAGCAACUCCAGACGACAUGUCAAAGCCUUCUGUCCAAUGUCCAAGGGUUACCACAGCACAUUCAAGAUCAGACCAGCCACUUGGGGGUGAUGGCAGGUGACAUCUACACAGUGUUCCGCAACGCUGCCUCCUUUAAGGAAGUGUCUGAUGGCCUCCUCACUUCUAGCAAGGGGAAGCUGCAGAAAAUGAAAGAAUCUUUAGAUGACGUGAUGGAUUAUGUUGUUAACAACACUCCUGUCAACUGGCUGGUACCCCUUUUAGUGUAUCACUUGGAUCACUUGGCAUAUGGGAGAAGAAGGAAGAGGAUAGUCAUUCACACAGAUCUGUAAGAAAUUGGGUCUGAUGCCCAGGAAAGCAGGUAUGGAGGGAGGGAAAGGAAGGCUUCUUGCCAGCAUGACCUACCAUGGCUCUCGUGGAACCGGGCCAGAUCUGACCCACCCUGAGGCCUGAAUGCAUGAUGUCUUGAGAGAUGGAUGUCUUUGCUCCAUAAACCAACUGACCCACCCUGAGGCCUGAAUGCAUGAUGUCUUGAGAGAUGGAUGUCUUUGCUCCAUAAACCAACGUAUUCACUGCUUGUACCUCGAGGUACCAUACCUUCAUGCUGUAGGUGUCCUCUAAUACAGGAUACCUUAUAAGAUUUCAUUAUAGUCUCUUGGAAAAGUAAAGAUGCUAAAUAACUCCACUGUUGAGUACCUCAGUUUCCAGGAUAACCCCUAGCAGUCUACUUCAUCUCAAAGAUGGAGGAACUGGCAAGGUAAUAGUCCUGGACUGUUAAGAGUAAGAAUUCUCUCUCCAAGGCUUGAGGUCCACUUAGGCUGAAGACACAUAUUUUGUUAUCUAUUUUUCUUGCUUCCCAUGAUUCUCUUUUGAGAUUCUAAUGCCACCCCUUCACUCCCAUGGUUUCCAAGUUACUGGGAUAGGCCUAGGUCACAUUUUCAGGGCUUUCACUGUCCCUGGGCUGAGCUGCAAGACUGUGGAAGAGUGCCCUGAAGGAAAAGGCUGAAUUGGAAAAUCCUGCCCUUAAUUGGCGAUGAGGCGGUGAAAGACAAAACAAGACAGGUGCUUGAUUUCACUGCCAUAGAUUUGACAUCUGAGACUGAUGAAAUUCCAGAUAUUAUACCUUUGGAAGAGGAGGAUGGAGCAAAUCGAGCUGAUGGCCCUGUCCUCUCA
This is a non-coding RNA of Castor canadensis (American beaver), 2366 nucleotides long. Lineage: Eukaryota; Metazoa; Chordata; Mammalia; Rodentia; Castoridae. The record is from RefSeq and is a predicted model, not a curated record.